RNAcentral lists this unclassified non-coding RNA (253 nucleotides) under uncultured Gammaproteobacteria bacterium. RNAcentral describes it as "contains 16S-23S intergenic spacer region". It matches the Rfam family "Bacterial small subunit ribosomal RNA", at positions 524 to 776 of the family's 1533-position model. Lineage: Bacteria; Pseudomonadati; Pseudomonadota; Gammaproteobacteria. The record is from RNAcentral.
CACGUAGGGUGCGAGCGUUAAUCGGAAUUACUGGGCGUAAAGGGUGCGCAGGCGGUUUCGCAAGUCAGGUGUGAAAUCCCCGGGCUUAACCUGGGAAUGGCAUUUGAAACUACGAGACUUGAGUGCGGCAGAGGGAGGUGGAAUUCCACGUGUAGCGGUGAAAUGCGUAGAUAUGUGGAGGAACACCGAUGGCGAAGGCAGCCUCCUGGGCCGACACUGACGCUCAUGCACGAAAGCGUGGGGAGCAAACAGG